Gracilinanus agilis (Agile Gracile Mouse Opossum) is the source of this 112-nucleotide small nuclear RNA. The record is from RefSeq and is a predicted model, not a curated record. Lineage: Eukaryota; Metazoa; Chordata; Mammalia; Didelphimorphia; Didelphidae.
GUGCUCAAUUUUGAAGCACUUAUCUUGAAAACAUAAAGUUCCAGAGAAGAUUAGCAUGGCUCCUGCCUGAAAAAAAAAUGGCAUCUAACAUUGGAAAACAUUCCAUAUUUUG